This 86-nucleotide transfer RNA is filed under the name Archangium sp. RNAcentral describes it as "tRNA-Ser". The record is from RNAcentral. Lineage: Bacteria; Pseudomonadati; Myxococcota; Myxococcia; Myxococcales; Archangiaceae. RNAcentral also lists the same sequence under 1 other name.
GGAAGGUGAACUGGCGAUGGCGCCAGACCUCAUUCGAAGUGAGUGGGCGUCUUCACGGGCGUGGGGUUCGAGUCCUCCGCCUUCCG